This 253-nucleotide ribosomal RNA is filed under the name uncultured bacterium. RNAcentral describes it as "partial 16S ribosomal RNA". It matches the Rfam family "Bacterial small subunit ribosomal RNA", at positions 524 to 776 of the family's 1533-position model. The record is from RNAcentral.
UACGUAGGUGGCAAGCGUUGUCCGGAUUUACUGGGCGUAAAGAGCGCGCAGGCGGUCGUUCAAGUCGCGUGUGAAAGCCCCCGGCUCAACUGGGGAGGGUCACGCGAUACUGAUCGACUCGAAGGCAGGAGAGGGUAGUGGAAUUCCCAGUGUAGAGGUGAAAUUCGUAGAUAUUGGGAAGAACACCGGUGGCGAAGGCGGCUCUCUGGACCGAUACUGACGCUGAGGCGCGAAAGCGUGGGGAGCAAACAGG